This 358-nucleotide long non-coding RNA is filed under the name Hordeum vulgare. Its description in RNAcentral is "long non-coding RNA (HVUL_LNC021121)". The record is from RNAcentral. Lineage: Eukaryota; Viridiplantae; Streptophyta; Magnoliopsida; Poales; Poaceae.
CUCCAUCCGUUGCUUUUUCCAAACAGUUGGGUUAGCAUCUGAAAGACCACAGUCUUCUAGCUUGGAGGAACCAUCCUUGAACCACUGAUAACUGACCCUUUCAGGAAAAUGUGUAAGAUCGUUCCUAGCAACAUUGUCAGAGUGUUCAGAUGCAUCGCUGAUUCGAUCUGGAUAACAGACGUGCCAUGGGGAUGGCUUCAUAUCAAAAGAAAAGUAGUCCAGGCCUUUAGGAGCUGUUGCUGCACCUGUAGCAAAAUUGCUUUCUCUGACUGAACUCUUACGUGGAGUGUGCUGCUGUAAAUCAGCAUCAUCUUCCUUGUUCUGUACAUUCUGAUGCUUUACGAAGGCCCUAUUCAAC